This 2102-nucleotide long non-coding RNA is filed under the name Bemisia tabaci. RNAcentral's name for it is "lncRNA ENSSSA3NGG007176". The record is from RNAcentral. Lineage: Eukaryota; Metazoa; Arthropoda; Insecta; Hemiptera; Aleyrodidae.
GACAAUGCUGACAGGUGGCGCUUGAGUACCCGCUCAAGUUCGUAGCUGCUGGUUUCGUGUCGUAAAAUUCGGGAGUGAUCCGUUUUUGAAUCGGUGUAAUGGUGCUACUCUUUCUGCGGGAAACUUUGCAAGUGAAGUGAAGUGCGUUAAGCGUUACGCGUUACGAUUCCGUCGACUACCGUGAUUAAGUCUAGUUUUAGUGUGGAAUCGGUAAUUUGAAUCGGAAAUCGGUAUUUCGAAUCGAGAACUUGUUUGGUAAACCGGAUACCAAGCCGCCCAAUCCCGGAAACCGGCUUUCUCGACCGGAAACGGAGGUGUUUUAAUCUGUGAUACAAGGUGAUUUCCAGAACCGGAAACAGCGAUAUACUGAACCAGAAACAGCUAUAUUCUGAACUGGAAACGAAGCUUUUCACUCAGGCGAAGGAAGAAUUGUGAAUCCUGACCAUACCGCUAGCAUUUUCUAACCGGAAACAGCUAUUUUCUGAACCGGAAACGAAAUUUUUCUCUCAAGCGAAGCAGAGUUGCGAAUUCUGACCUUACCGUUAGCAUUUUCUAACCGGAAACAGUAACUUACAGAACCGGAAACGAAGCUUUUGACUCUGGCAGAGGAAGACUAGUGAAUUCUGAACAUACCGUUACUGCCCAACACCGGUAAUAACCCUGCCCUCAACCGGAAACAACCCUGUUUUCACUCGGAACCCAAGAUAUACUGAACCGGAAACAAUACUUUUUUAACCGGAAAUAGAGAUUUCCCGAACCGGAAGCAGCUAUAUUCUGAACCGGAAACGAAACUGUUGGUUCCGAUAGAGGAGGAAUAGUGAAUUCCGACUGUAACACCGGUAUUAACCCUGCCCUCAACCGGAAACAACCCUGUUUUCACCCGGAAGCCGCGAUAUCCUGAACCGGAAACGGGGUCUGCUGCCCGGAAGCGGGGGCUGGCGGGGGCCGAAUAAAUGCUCGUCGUGAUGGAAUCCUCGGAGAAGGGCGGGGGCGCUGAUCCGGCGGAGGACUGCGCCAAGCGCCUCAAGUCGAAGAACAACAACAACAACGAGGACAACAUCAACUUCAACAUCGACCACGGGCGGGCGCUUCUGAACUCGUGGCACCCGCACGUCUACUCCAAGCUCCCGAAGGCCCCGACGCCGCACCUCAUCUCCAACAUCCUGGGGAUCCCCGGGGGCGGCCGCGCCGGGGCCGAGAACGAGCAGCCGCUCACCUCACCACCAGAGUGCGCCGGCGAUCGCCCACGCCGGAUUUCCCGCGCCCCGGCUUCGCGGCCAAGGCUCCCGCGCAUCUGGGAAAUGGACUCAGGGGCUAAACGGCAACCCACCUCCGUCAUCCAGCCGGCUGGUGCUAAGGCUCCACGCAGACACUCAAACUCGGAUAAAGAGAGCACGAAGCGACGCUCGCGGAAAGAAGUGACGAGUGCGAAAGUGUCGAUGGGCGCCGGGGGGUUGGGGGCGGCGAAUCCCCUCGGGGGUCGGUGCUGUGCAGUGGGGGGGUUGGGGUGCGGGGGGCGUGGCCGGCGAGAGCGAGAGUUUGUCGGACACGGAGAGGAAGAGGAAGAAGGCCCGCACCACGUUCACCGGGAGACAGAUCUUCGAGCUGGAGCGACAGUUCGAGAUCAAGAAGUACCUGUCGUCCUCGGAGAGGGCCGAGCUUGCCAAACUCCUCGAUGUCACCGAAACGCAGGUGAAGAUCUGGUUCCAGAACCGGCGGACCAAGUGGAAGAAGUACGACAACAACAACAGCCUGGACGCGGCCGAGCAGAAGUCGCAGACCUCCGAGAAGUCGGACGCCGACGCCGGGAGCGUCUCCAAGAAGUCCGUCUCCAGCGUCGACGACCACUCCAGCCUCGACGGCGACGGCUCCGAGUCCUGCUUCAGCGUCACCGCCUCCGACCCGCCCCCCGGCCCCGUAGCCCCACCCCCCUCCACCCCCUCGCCUGCCGACGCCCCGCCCUCCCCCUCGCCUCCGCCCACCGUCCCCGCCCACUACGACCCCCUCCCACUCCCCGUCCCGCUCCCCCCCUCGGUGCCGCCCGGCCCCGCCCCAGCGCCACCGCCCCCAGCCGCCAGGACCUCCGCCGCCCUCGGAGCUAA